GGCGGGGCUAUUCACCUGGCUGGGUGGAGCUAGGUGUGGACUGGGCGGGGCUAGGUGUGGACUGGGCGGGGCUAGGUGUGGACUGGGCGGAGCUACUCACCUGGACUGGGCGGGGCUAGGUGUGGACUGGGCGGGGCUACUCACCUGGACUGGGAGGGGCUAGGUGUUGACUGGGUGGAGCUAGGUGUGGACUGGGCGGGGCUAGGUGUGAACUGGGCGGAGCUACUCACCUGGACUGGGUGGAGCUAGGUGUGGACUGGGCGGGGCUAGGUGUGGACUGGGCGGAGCUACUCACCUGGACUGGGUGGAGCUAGGUGUGAACUGGGCGGGGCUAGGUGUGGACUGGGCGGAGCUACUCACCUGGACUGGGCGGGGCUAGGUGUGGACUGGGUGGAGCUAGGUGUGGACUGGGCGGAGCUACUCACCUGGACUGGGUGGAGCUUCCGGGCCACUGAGCCGAUGCCCUCCACGGUGGUGAUGGCGGAGAGGUGCAGCGAACACACAGGAGCC
This is a long non-coding RNA of Gadus macrocephalus (Pacific cod), 510 nucleotides long. RefSeq lists it as uncharacterized. The record is from RefSeq and is a predicted model, not a curated record. Lineage: Eukaryota; Metazoa; Chordata; Actinopteri; Gadiformes; Gadidae. The transcript is spliced from 3 exons.